ACUAACAAGGAUUCCCCUAGUAACUGCGAGUGAAGCGGGAAGAGCUCAAAUUUAAAAUCUGGCGGUCUUCGGCCGUCCGAGUUGUAUUCUGGAGAAGUGCUUUCCGCGCUGGACCGUGUAUAAGUCUCUUGGAACAGAGCGUCAUAGAGGGUGAGAAUCCCGUCUUUGACACGGACUACCAGUGCUUUGUGAUGCGCUCUCAAAGAGUCGAGUUGUUUGGGAAUGCAGCUCAAAAUGGGUGGUAAAUUCCAUCUAAAGCUAAAUAUUGGCGAGAGACCGAUAGCGAACAAGUACCGUGAGGGAAAGAUGAAAAGCACUUUGGAAAGAGAGUUAAACAGUACGUGAAAUUGUUGAAAGGGAAACGCUUGAAGUCAGUCGCGUUGGCCGGGACUCAGCCUUGCCUUUCGCUUGGUGUAUUUUCCGGUUGACGGGCCAGCAUCGAUUUUGACUGCUGGACAAGGGCUGGAGGAAUGUGGCACCUCCGGGUGUGUUAUAGCCUCUGGUCGUAUACAGUAGUUGGGAUCGAGGACCGCAGCUUCGGCUUAGGAUGCUGGCGUAAUGGCUUUAAACGACCCGUCUUGAAACACGGACCAAGGAGUCUAACAUGCCUGCGAGUAUUUGGGUGGAAAACCCGGAUGCGUAAUGAAAGUGAAAGUUGAGACCUCUGUCGUGGAGGGCAUCGACGCCCGGACCUGAUCUUCGGUGACGGAUCUGCGGUAGAGCAUGUAUGUUGGGACCCGAAAGAUGGUGAACUAUGCCUGAAUAGGGUGAAGCCAGAGGAAACUCUGGUGGAGGCUCGUAGCGAUUCUGACGUGCAAAUCGAUCGUCAAAUUUGGGUAUAGGGGCGAAAGACUAAUCGAACCAUCUU
RNAcentral lists this ribosomal RNA (868 nucleotides) under Heliocybe villosa. Its description in RNAcentral is "eukaryotic LSU rRNA". It matches the Rfam family "Eukaryotic large subunit ribosomal RNA", at positions 64 to 946 of the family's 3401-position model. The record is from RNAcentral. Lineage: Eukaryota; Fungi; Basidiomycota; Agaricomycetes; Gloeophyllales; Gloeophyllaceae.